RNAcentral lists this ribosomal RNA (460 nucleotides) under uncultured bacterium. Its description in RNAcentral is "partial 16S ribosomal RNA". It matches the Rfam family "Bacterial small subunit ribosomal RNA", at positions 338 to 795 of the family's 1533-position model. The record is from RNAcentral.
CCUACGGGUGGCAGCAGUGAGGAAUAUUGGUCAAUGAGCGCGAGCCUGAACCAGCCAAGUAGCGUGAAGGAUGACUGCCCUACGGGUUGUAAACUUCUUUUAUAAAGGAAUAAAGUGUUGCACGUGUGCCUUUUUGUAUGUACUUUAUGAAUAAGGAUCGGCUAACUCCGUGCCAGCAGCCGCGGUAAUACGGAGGAUCCGAGCGUUAUCCGGAUUUAUUGGGUUUAAAGGGAGCGUAGGUGGGUUGUUAAGUCAGUUGUGAAAGUUUGCGGCUCAACCGUAAAAUUGCACUUGAUACUGGCAGCCUUGAGUACAGUAGAGGUAGGCGGAAUUCGUGGUGUAGCGGUGAAAUGCUUAGAUAUCACGAAGAACUCCGAUUGCGAAGGCAGCUUACUAGACUGCCACUGACACUGAGGCUCGAAAGUGUGGGUAUCAAACAGGAUUAGAUACCCCGGUAGUC